GAGAAAAAUGGAAAUACUAAUUAGGGUACUUAUUAUCACAUCUACCGCAUUUAAGCUUUUUAAUCUUUGUUCAUCAUAUACAAUAUGCAUCACCAAAUUUAUUUUUAUACUUGACUAUGCAUUUACGGAAAUUAUUAAUGGCCGUGCAUUUGUGUUGAUCGGUGCUAAACUUGGGACUUCAUUAUUUUUGUUUGUUUUAGUUUUGAUGCUGCAACUCUAUCGACGAGGAGCAAAAAUUUAGAAUUUUCAUAAUUGUAGCUUUAAAAUGAACGUGUCGUUGAAAAGAUUAAAGUGGCAAGCAGCAGGCUAUUGUGCACAAACUUGCGUCGGAAAGUACUCCCCGCGAAAACACGACUUCCCUUUCGUUUCCCGAUUAUCUGGCAUUUCAUUCGUGUGCAAGAGAACAUAAUUAUCAACGAAGGAUCCUCGAAAGCUCAGCUAUCACCGGAAACAACCAAGAGGACUCCAGGAGGAUAACAACUUCACCUAGUUGGGACAGCAGCAGGUGCAGCAGUUUGUGCACUAUCCAAGCGUUUUCAUAGUUGCUUUCAAUUAGUGAUAAAAUGUAACCCUAAAGAAAUUGCAUGAUGAAAUAAAUUAAUAUUUAUCAUUUUGUUUCAUUCAA
This is a long non-coding RNA of Aedes aegypti (yellow fever mosquito), 625 nucleotides long. RefSeq lists it as uncharacterized. NCBI's taxonomy places the organism in Eukaryota, Metazoa, Arthropoda, Insecta, Diptera, Culicidae. The record is from RefSeq and is a predicted model, not a curated record. The transcript has 2 exons.